GGGAUAUCACACUUCUUAAAAACUUAAAUAGAUAAAUAAUAAUUUACCCUUCAUCAACAAAAUAGCAGCGGAAUUAAUUCAACAUCAUAAAAAGUAUUGGCAUGUAGGCCUCAUCAAAAUAUCUAAUAAACUCAGUUAAACAACUUAUUCAUAAAUUAAAUACGUAAAGGAACAAGAAAUAGCCACAAAAGAUCUCAUCCAGUUACGUAUCAGAGCACCUAAAGGACACAGUGAGGGAUAACCACUCACGACAGCAACUCCAACUACUUAAACUUGAUCACCUACAAGUUACUCAUACGAAGAGCAACAUUACCAAGCAGAAGGGGUGAGAUUUCACAAAACAAUAAUAUUAAGCAUAUAAUUCAACAAUUAUAUUUAACAACAUAAAAACAUCUUAUUAUACAUCAUAGAUAAUAAUAUAUCAAUCAUCACUUCAUUCAUAAUAAUCACAACUUCACAACUUAUCAUUUUCGACUCAACAAUGCAACUAUGCAACUUAGACAUCUUAUAUGCAUGUGGUACCAAUACAGGGCAUCAAGUCCCCAUCGCUAUUUGAGUAUUAAUAUACUUCCAGGGCAUCAAGCCCCCAUCGCUAAUUGAGCUAAAGCUCCAACGUGGUGAGUACAAAGCUCCAGGGCAUCAAGCCCCAACAAUGAAAUGCUAAUGCAUGGACUCGACCUCUUAAACAUCUUAAUUCGACAACCUCUUAUAUAAUCCAAUAAUUUGGAACAUCAUCAUCUUCAUCAACUUAGACUGACUCAUGCAGCUUAGUUAAAUAACAACAGCAACAUAGGCAGUAUACAAAAACAGCAUGACAUAAUAAUAUCAAUUGCAAUUCAUCAACAUCUUAAAUAUUCAAAUAUUCUUCAAGUAAUGCAUAUAACAUUAUAUCACAUCAUAAUCAACAUCAACACAUCUUAAACAGCUUCACAAAUUAUAAUUAACAUCAUCAUUAAGUCUUAAUGCUAUCCCAAGGUUCAACUGUCGACAACUCGUGCAACAAAGGUCGCAAAAUCUAACAAGGCACUCUGAUUCUAGGUCACUCGCGAGGCGAGAGCCUCUGCUCGCCGUGGCGAGUUCAGGUCAGAAUGCCACAAGUUUCAUUCCAGGUUCAGUCUCAUCCUACAUUCUUUCCUAAUCAUUAUUAGACAUUUUCAGGCACUCAAAAGCAUAUAAGGAUCAACUCAAAAGUCAAAAUCACGAAAUCUUGCAUGCUCUCUGGUCAAGCUCGCUAGGCGAGUUCAUCUGCUCACUAUGGCGAGCUGCGACGUGCAACUCGCGAUGCGGGGAAAGGUUACUAGCGUGGCGAGUGAUGAAGUUCAUCACUCGCCGUGGCGAGGAUCAUAGCUCAGGAGGCGAGCGAUGAAUGUCGCUACUGGCAAAAGUGGAGUUUUUAUGAAAAAUCAUCAACUCUCAUCGUUUUAAGCCUAAUCUUGAUUCCAGAAUUCAUCAUAAUCAUUAUCUAAGGUCUAGGGACAAUUUCCACAUCAAUCUAACAAUUUUUCACCAUUUAAUCAUCAGUUCUACCAAUUUGACCUAAUUUCCGAUUCCUCUUAAACUCAUCAUAAUUCAUGUUAAAUGUAACUGUUGAUUCACAAACUUAAUAGAAUUGCAAAGUUAGUCUCACCCUUACCUUAUAGAUGAAAAUCGCAGCCUCUAGGUCUUCUCCCUCUUCUCUUGGCUUUUUCUCCCUUUUCUCCAAAAUUGAUCGUACGUACGUUAUGUUUUUCUAAACUAGGUUUCCCUAUUUAUAUCUCCUCCAAUUAUCUUAUCUUAUUUCUCUUUCUCCCCCAAAACUCUCUAAAAUCUCAAAACAACCCCUAAACUCAAUAUUUAUUUUAUUUUCAAAUCUUAUUUUAUUAAACAAUAAAACAAGUCACAACUCCUCAUAAAAUCAUAUAAAACCACCUCAAUCAUAUAAACCUCUUAAAUCACACAUAUAUCAUAUAAAUAUAAUAUAAACUCAUCUAAAUAACUUCUAGACUCAAUUAAAUAAUUCAAAACGGGCGUUACUAACCGCUGUCUAGGUACCAUGAUUUUUGCUUUACUUUUGCUCUUAGACAUAUUUGUAAUAUUAACAUUUUCAGAUUUAGGUACCCAUUGUCUAAUGGGUCCUUUAAGGUUAGUACUAUAAGUUUUACUCUUCACUUCUUGUGCCUUGUGCUGAGAGUUUGAUUGCUUCUGGUUACUCAUUGCCUUAGGUUUAAUACAUCUUCGUUCCCAAGUAGCAACAACUGUUUUCUUCCUUUGAAACUUGGACUUUAAGAUUCCAGCUUCUAGUUACAACAGACUCUGAGGAACAGGUUCUGAUGUCUUUAGAAUCUUAAUAUUUGAAGUCUUAGAAUCAGAAUUUGUCAUUGCCUUUGGCUUAAAGUUCUUUGGCUUUGAAGUAAUCUUAUCCUCAAAGCUAGUAGCUUCAGGUUCUGACUGAACAACAGUUUUACUCUUAGCACCUUCAAGUACAAAGAAGGUUUUCAACCCUUCCUUGAUGCAUUCACAACAUGCUUUAAGACUGAUUUCAUUAGGUUUCCCUUCUGAAAAUCCAAUCCCUUUACCAUUGUUUCUGUAAAUGCUCUAAAUCAUAGAAGCAACUUUGCUACUGUCAAUACCAGACAUAAUCAACUCCACAUGAGCAAUUUCUUGUUUACUUAAAGACUUUCCAUUACACUUUUCUUGUAGCUUAUGACAAAGAUGCUUUAGUUUUUCUUCAUAAGUUCUACAAAUGAAGUCAAACCCUUUAAGUCAUUCUUCAACAGAUGUCAGAUCCAAUAUAGUUGAUUCUUGUUGUUUCAUGAAAACAACAUAUCUUUCUUUUAAAUCUUUCAACUCAUUGGUUCUGUAUUCAAAGUGUGUAAGAAGAUCUUUAAGAGACUCAAUAAGUUCUUCUCUGGGAAUUUUAGAAUAUACCUCAUUUUUAUCUUCAGAAUAUGAAUCGGGAUCUGCUUCUAAAGUCACAGUAGCCACUAACCCAACAACUACUUUUGCAUCUUCUUUAAUUUCUUCCUUUUUAGAGUUUGAUUCACUGUCUAAAUUUUCCCAGGUCGCCAUUAAACUCUUCUUCAUCUGCUUCCUGAAUUUCCUUGUGUUGAAGUUUGCCUUCUUUGAGUUGUCCUUUGAUUUCUCCUUAUGAAGAUCAGGGAAAUCAGCAAUGAAAUGUCCAUGCUUCUUACACAAAGCAAUUAUACUUGUUCCUUCCACAAAUGAUCUUUUGCCUUAUAUGAUUAUUGUCCUAUGAAAGAUCAAUUUCAAAACCAUUCCCAGUAUGUAGGAACAUUGUUGCAGGCAGAGCAGUUAUCCUUGUCUAGUAGCAGAGACACAAACUGAGUAGUAGAGAUGGUGGUUGUACACUUCGUACAAUUUGUACUAUGUCAACGCUCUUCAAAGAACAAGCAUCCAAUGCCUUCAAGUCCUUUCAAAAUAAUUGGUGCUUCACUCCUCUGGUCUUUUGCAAUUCUUGGACGAGAUUGAAUCCAUUGAACAAUCUUUUGAAGCUUUAAGUCUUGCAUCUCCUGAUGAACUUUAGCUUCUGAUGAGAUGGUUCUGAUGAACUUGCUUCUGAUGAUGUCAUCACUUCAUGAGCACUUUUGACUUCAGGAGCACAUCUCUUCAGAUGCUUCAAGCUUCCUUUUUGUUGAUUCCUUAGCUCUCAAUUCGCUCUUUAAGAAACCGAAUAAUGAUAUCAAAUUUUUGUCUAUGGUCUUGUACACUUGAACAAAUAUUAGCAUAUCCAAUUGACAAUUUUUUAAUACUCAGUUAUCAUCAAAACUCUGAAAGUGUAAUGUUAAACAAAUUUUGUUCCAACAUGGUAUUCCUCUAUACUUGGAAUGAAUUUGAAAUUGUUCCUUCAUAGGACAAUAACCAAAUCAGGAAAUAGAUCAUCGGUGAUUUGAUCAAGCUUUAAAUGACUCUUUUUUGAUGUGUUGGCAAUCAACGUCUCUUUCACACCUCUAUAUAAAGGAGUGGAGAACUGAAGAAUUGCAAGACUCUUACAACAAUUUACUAGUGCCAAAAUUCUAAGUCAACAUCAAAGUUCACUUAGAAUUUCUUAACAACUUUCAUAUCUUGGAAAUUCUGGAGUCUUAAAGAGUCUGUAUCUGAUUUGUCUUGUGAACACCACUGAUUGUAUAUAAAGUGUUCAACCUCAAAAAAAAAUAUUUGUAAUUCUGUUUGAAUAGAAGUCUCUUGCAGUUGAGCUUGAGCAUAGGAAGCCUCUUGAUUUAGUUCUUGAGCAUAGGAAAUCUCUUGUAGUUGUGCUUGAGUAGUUUGAAGUCUCUUGCUAGUUUUAGAAGUGAGCAGUUAUAAUCAGAUAUUACAUUUUAGUGAACUCUCCUUGGAAGUGCAAGGGGGACGUGACUACUUCCGGUUUGUGGAAGGAACCUGUAUAAUUGUUUAAUGUCUUUCUUCUCUCUCUCUCUCUCUCUCUCUCUCUCUCUCUCUCUCUCUCUCUCUAUGUUUUAUCCGCUGCAUUUAGAUUUUCAACCCCCCUCUUUUGUUUUUCUCACCUUCACACUUUACCUCUAUCUUUGGCUAAUUGUGCGAUUUUUCCCCAGUAACACCAACAAACACAAACACAAUAAAAAAUCAGCCCAAAGCCCGUCACAAACCCAAACCAAAAACACAGGGAUAAAUAGAUCCACAAAAACCAGCAGUCACGAACUCAAUAAAAAGGGUAUAAUCUUGAAUUGUAGAGAUAGGGAAGAACAUGAGAGGAUAAGAAGGGGUAGAGAGAAUAGAAAGGAAAAAAUGAAAGAAAUCAAAAAGUGGAGGGUAUUUAUAACCCUCCCUAAUCUGGUGGACGAAGGUGCAUGCUUUAGCAUGGACCCUCGCCUUCCUGGCCUUUAGAUCUUGAUCUAACAGUCUGUAGCGUUUUCCCAUCAGAUCAGAUUACGACCAUUAAUCAAAUCAACGACCCAGAUCUAAUCUAGUUAGCCCAUGCGCAUUUGGCUCCUUUCUGACCCAAUCUAUUUUUUUACUUCCUGCACCCCCCCCCCCUCUUUUAUUAUUUGCACCCCCUGUCAUUUACUUUUUAUUUUCAUGCAUUUUAUUUUUUUAUCAUUUUGCAUUCCAUUUUAUUUUUGUUUAUUAUCAUUAGCAUUUUAAUAUUUUUUUUUCAUUUAUCAAUUUUGUAAUUAGAAUGUAUUUUAGGAAAAUUGUAAAUAUAAAGAAAAGCAUGCAUCAUCUUUAUUUAUUUAUUUAUUUAACUUUUAUAUACUGAAAAAUGCUACAAAAAAAAGGUUUAGUUUAAUAUCCAAGGGAAAGGGGAGUCGUUUUGACCUAGUGUCACUACGGAAUUCUCUCGCGAUUAAUUCAGCGUCGCUCUAAUUUUAGGCUUUUAUAAAUAAAUAAAUAAAAAGCAAAAAACAUUAAAAUAAUCAUAAAACAAAUUUCACAAAAAAGGAAAUUCUUUUCUAAAAACCUUGAUUUUCAAUAAAGUGAUUUUCCACUUUAAUAUAUUUAAACCCUUUCUAGCGUCCUCGUGAGCAUAGCUCAAUUGGUAUGGACAAUUCAUAAAAUAUGAAGGUCCGGGGUUCAAACCUAGACCACCACAAAAAAAAACCCGUUCUAGAAAUAAAUAAAUAAAACAAACAAAUUUUGUCUUUGCCAUUUGGCUUUUAUUUUUAAACCUUUUCAAAAAACUAAUAAAAAACAUCAAACAAAUCACUCGGCUUUAUAGCCCGAACUACGUGGUUUUGAUCCAUCACGGGUACGUAGGUAAAAUACCUCUUCUUUCCGAAUCAAUAAAUAAUAAAAAAUAUUUUUUUGUUCCCCUCAUCACACUAAUCUUUUUACAGGAAAAUAAUAAAUAAUUUUAGCCAAAAAAAUAAAUAAAUGCAAGAGGUUCCUAUAGAGUACUAUAGAUGUUUAGGGUGCUAAUACCUUCCACUUACGUAACUAACCCUCGAACCUUAAAUCUCUAAAAAUUGUGGGUUUAUUCGAACUUUUUCCCCAUUCCCUUUGAAAAAAUUAAAGCUCGGUGGUGAACCUAAAUUUGUCAGUCAACGCUAAUCAAUAGCUUGAUCUCUGAAAAUCACCGCAAUAUAACCACUUAUUAUCCCAAAAUAACUUAAACCAGAUUAUCGCAUAAAAACCCAAGUUGCUUCCCAAAACCUUUCUCAAUGAAGACUUAUAACCAAAAAUAGAAGUUUAUCUAAUCUAUCUCAACACAACAAUAUCAACAAUUCACCACAAAUCAUUCAUAAUCUCAAUUCACCAUUCAUAACCCCUUUUCUCCAAAACUCAUUAAAUUAACAACAACUUAACAAUAACUUCACCAAUAACAACACUCAAGGUAUAAACCAUCACCACGGACACAACAUAACAUUAAUCAAAGCAUAAUCUCACAAUUUUGUCAACAAUCAAUAACAACAACUUCAUUUUUACCAAUUUAAGCAAAAAUCAUCAAACCAACUUAUCAACAACAACAACCAUGAGUUUUAAGCCCAUAAUACAACAAUUUUAUGAAGUUUAUCAUACCCUUAAAUUCACCUGAAUUAGGAACAGGAAUUUCAUCUUUCAAAAAUAUAAAAAGUCACAAUUAUCACAAAAGCACUUAAACUCAUAAGUGAAAAUACUAGAUAAUGACUUAAUUAGUGAAAAGAGACUAAUUAUCUCCCUUACCUCUACUCUUCAACAAUUCAAUUUGUGGCUUCAAUUUUGCUCCUAGUCACCAACUGCAAGCUUUCUCUUCUUAGUUCUUCUUUGCUCUUCAAGAUCUCCUUUCUCUCUCUACCUCUAUCUUGAAAUGUUUUCUGAAAGUGAGUAAAUGAAGGUAAUGGCAUGAUUUCUCUCCUUUCUCUCUCUACAUCUAUCUUGAAAUAUUUUGUGAAAGUGAGUAAAUGAAGGUAAUGGCCUGAUCUCUCAUAAGACUAGUGUUUAUAUAGUCUCUACUCAAAUGGGCUCAAACCCUAGUUGUCAUAAUAGGCUCAAUAUUCUUAUUAUCUAAUUCACCGAUUUACUACACACUUAACCAUCGAAAUAACGAGUAAUUAUUUUCUUUAAAUAAUUAUCAUCACUCACUAGUAACUUAGUAAAAAUAAUUAUUCCCACUUAAAACACUAAAAAUAAUUCUCGUAAUCAAAAGACUAUUUUCCCCUUCUCACCUAAUAACCAAAAUACCUCUGAGUCUAAAAUGACUAAAAUA
Molecule: long non-coding RNA, 7141 nt
Filed under: Medicago truncatula (barrel medic)
Lineage: Eukaryota; Viridiplantae; Streptophyta; Magnoliopsida; Fabales; Fabaceae
Description: long non-coding RNA (MTRU_LNC007228)
Source: RNAcentral